This is a non-coding RNA of Camelina sativa (false flax), 687 nucleotides long. NCBI's taxonomy places the organism in Eukaryota, Viridiplantae, Streptophyta, Magnoliopsida, Brassicales, Brassicaceae. The record is from RefSeq and is a predicted model, not a curated record.
AGGUCCACAAAAAGCUUUUUUCGACCUGUUCUCAUGAGAUCACUGGUCGAACAAAAAAGAAAACUUUUUCUCUCUCGACCUAGCCGUCUAGAAAAUUUUUUGUUUGGCCGGCGGUUGGUGGCUUCCACAGCACCGUCGUCGGCCCUGCUCCCUUGUAUUUAAGUAGUUUCUCUUCUUAGUAGUUUCUAGUUUGCCUUUCUAGCUUUCUCAAACCUUAACUUUGUCGUCUCCUCCUUUUGGCGGUUUGGUGUUGUUCUUAGGUGGAUCUAUUCCGAAGAGAGGUUUGCUUAUCCUUUGAUUCAUGGUUAAGAAACUCCAAAGUAAGUAGAGAGACUCCUGCGAAGAAGGUGGAGGAUGUAAUGCCCAUUGCAACUGGACUUGAGAAGGAGGAGCUUGACGCUGAAAUAAAGGUGGAGUUUUGCUAUUAGACUAAGUUACUGCAAAAGAACAAAACAAAAAUCUGUCAAGUGAAUGUUUUUUUUGUACUGCUCCUAAGUCUGAUGAUGUCUACCUCAAGCCUCUCCUAAGCCUCUCAUUAAGGAGACCAAAAGCAGUGCUCCUAAUCUUUUUAUGCUUUUGUUUCUCUGUUUGUUCCAUUGGUUUAUUGAGAUUUGCUCCUUUUUUUAUUUUACUGAGGUUUCAGGUAAGCUUAUGCCACUCUAGAUAAUAGUUCUCCUUUUGUUUUUU